RNAcentral lists this ribosomal RNA (704 nucleotides) under uncultured Staphylococcus sp. RNAcentral describes it as "bacterial SSU rRNA". It matches the Rfam family "Bacterial small subunit ribosomal RNA", at positions 60 to 746 of the family's 1533-position model. The record is from RNAcentral. Lineage: Bacteria; Bacillati; Bacillota; Bacilli; Caryophanales; Staphylococcaceae.
AGUCGAGCGAACAGACGAGGAGCUUGCUCCUCUGACGUUAGCGGCGGACGGGUGAGUAACACGUGGAUAACCUACCUAUAAGACUGGGAUAACUUCGGGAAACCGGAGCUAAUGCCGGAUAAUAUAUUGAACCGCACGGUUCAAUAAUGAAAGACGGUUUUGCUGUCACUUAUAGAUGGAUCCGCGCCGCAUUAGCUAGUUGGUAAGGUAACGGCUUACCAAGGCAACGAUGCGUAGCCGACCUGAGAGGGUGAUCGGCCACACUGGAACUGAGACACGGUCCAGACUCCUACGGGAGGCAGCAGUAGGGAAUCUUCCGCAAUGGGCGAAAGCCUGACGGAGCAACGCCGCGUGAGUGAUGAAGGUCUUCGGAUCGUAAAACUCUGUUAUUAGGGAAGAACAAAUGUGUAAGUAACUAUGCACGUCUUGACGGUACCUAAUCAGAAAGCCACGGCUAACUACGUGCCAGCAGCCGCGGUAAUACGUAGGUGGCAAGCGUUAUCCGGAAUUAUUGGGCGUAAAGCGCGCGUAGGCGGUUUUUUAAGUCUGAUGUGAAAGCCCACGGCUCAACCGUGGAGGGUCAUUGGAAACUGGAAAACUUGAGUGCAGAAGAGGAAAGUGGAAUUCCAUGUGUAGCGGUGAAAUGCGCAGAGAUAUGGAGGAACACCAGUGGCGAAGGCGACUUUCUGGUCUGUAACUGACGC